This 275-nucleotide long non-coding RNA is filed under the name Panax ginseng (ginseng). Its description in RNAcentral is "long non-coding RNA (PGIN_LNC008468)". Lineage: Eukaryota; Viridiplantae; Streptophyta; Magnoliopsida; Apiales; Araliaceae. The record is from RNAcentral.
UUCGUUCGAUUCUGAUUUGGAGAAAAAAAUUGGGUUCCAAUUCUAGGGUUUCGUUCUCCGUUCGAUUCCAUUUUGGAGAAGAAAUUAAGUUCCGAUUCUAGGGCUUCGUUCUUCGUUCGAUUCCGAUUUGGUGAAGGUUUUGUGAAGAUUUGGUUUCUUUCUAGGUCUUCCUUCGUUCGAAUGGAAAUUUGGAAAAGUCUGUCGUGUUUUUGUUUUAGUGAUGAUUCCUUCGUUCGAAUGGAAAUUUGGAGAAGUCUACGGUGUUUUUAUUUUAG